This 2925-nucleotide ribosomal RNA is filed under the name Escherichia coli. RNAcentral's name for it is "23S ribosomal RNA". It matches the Rfam family "Bacterial large subunit ribosomal RNA". Lineage: Bacteria; Pseudomonadati; Pseudomonadota; Gammaproteobacteria; Enterobacterales; Enterobacteriaceae. The record is from RNAcentral.
GGGUUGUGAGGUUAAGCGACUAAGCGUACACGGUGGAUGCCCUGGCAGUCAGAGGCGAUGAAGGACGUGCUAAUCUGCGAUAAGCGUCGGUAAGGUGAUAUGAACCGUUAUAACCGGCGAUUUCCGAAUGGGGAAACCCAGUGUGUUUCGACACACUAUCAUUAACUGAAUCCAUAGGUUAAUGAGGCGAACCGGGGGAACUGAAACAUCUAAGUACCCCGAGGAAAAGAAAUCAACCGAGAUUCCCCCAGUAGCGGCGAGCGAACGGGGAGCAGCCCAGAGCCUGAAUCAGUGUGUGUGUUAGUGGAAGCGUCUGGAAAGGCGCGCGAUACAGGGUGACAGCCCCGUACACAAAAAUGCACAUGCUGUGAGCUCGAUGAGUAGGGCGGGACACGUGGUAUCCUGUCUGAAUAUGGGGGGACCAUCCUCCAAGGCUAAAUACUCCUGACUGACCGAUAGUGAACCAGUACCGUGAGGGAAAGGCGAAAAGAACCCCGGCGAGGGGAGUGAAAAAGAACCUGAAACCGUGUACGUACAAGCAGUGGGAGCACGCUUAGGCGUGUGACUGCGUACCUUUUGUAUAAUGGGUCAGCGACUUAUAUUCUGUAGCAAGGUUAACCGAAUAGGGGAGCCGAAGGGAAACCGAGUCUUAACUGGGCGUUAAGUUGCAGGGUAUAGACCCGAAACCCGGUGAUCUAGCCAUGGGCAGGUUGAAGGUUGGGUAACACUAACUGGAGGACCGAACCGACUAAUGUUGAAAAAUUAGCGGAUGACUUGUGGCUGGGGGUGAAAGGCCAAUCAAACCGGGAGAUAGCUGGUUCUCCCCGAAAGCUAUUUAGGUAGCGCCUCGUGAAUUCAUCUCCGGGGGUAGAGCACUGUUUCGGCAAGGGGGUCAUCCCGACUUACCAACCCGAUGCAAACUGCGAAUACCGGAGAAUGUUAUCACGGGAGACACACGGCGGGUGCUAACGUCCGUCGUGAAGAGGGAAACAACCCAGACCGCCAGCUAAGGUCCCAAAGUCAUGGUUAAGUGGGAAACGAUGUGGGAAGGCCCAGACAGCCAGGAUGUUGGCUUAGAAGCAGCCAUCAUUUAAAGAAAGCGUAAUAGCUCACUGGUCGAGUCGGCCUGCGCGGAAGAUGUAACGGGGCUAAACCAUGCACCGAAGCUGCGGCAGCGACGCUUAUGCGUUGUUGGGUAGGGGAGCGUUCUGUAAGCCUGCGAAGGUGUGCUGUGAGGCAUGCUGGAGGUAUCAGAAGUGCGAAUGCUGACAUAAGUAACGAUAAAGCGGGUGAAAAGCCCGCUCGCCGGAAGACCAAGGGUUCCUGUCCAACGUUAAUCGGGGCAGGGUGAGUCGACCCCUAAGGCGAGGCCGAAAGGCGUAGUCGAUGGGAAACAGGUUAAUAUUCCUGUACUUGGUGUUACUGCGAAGGGGGGACGGAGAAGGCUAUGUUGGCCGGGCGACGGUUGUCCCGGUUUAAGCGUGUAGGCUGGUUUUCCAGGCAAAUCCGGAAAAUCAAGGCUGAGGCGUGAUGACGAGGCACUACGGUGCUGAAGCAACAAAUGCCCUGCUUCCAGGAAAAGCCUCUAAGCAUCAGGUAACAUCAAAUCGUACCCCAAACCGACACAGGUGGUCAGGUAGAGAAUACCAAGGCGCUUGAGAGAACUCGGGUGAAGGAACUAGGCAAAAUGGUGCCGUAACUUCGGGAGAAGGCACGCUGAUAUGUAGGUGAAGUCCCUCGCGGAUGGAGCUGAAAUCAGUCGAAGAUACCAGCUGGCUGCAACUGUUUAUUAAAAACACAGCACUGUGCAAACACGAAAGUGGACGUAUACGGUGUGACGCCUGCCCGGUGCCGGAAGGUUAAUUGAUGGGGUCAGCGCAAGCGAAGCUCUUGAUCGAAGCCCCGGUAAACGGCGGCCGUAACUAUAACGGUCCUAAGGUAGCGAAAUUCCUUGUCGGGUAAGUUCCGACCUGCACGAAUGGCGUAAUGAUGGCCAGGCUGUCUCCACCCGAGACUCAGUGAAAUUGAACUCGCUGUGAAGAUGCAGUGUACCCGCGGCAAGACGGAAAGACCCCGUGAACCUUUACUAUAGCUUGACACUGAACAUUGAGCCUUGAUGUGUAGGAUAGGUGGGAGGCUUUGAAGUGUGGACGCCAGUCUGCAUGGAGCCGACCUUGAAAUACCACCCUUUAAUGUUUGAUGUUCUAACGUGGACCCGUGAUCCGGGUUGCGGACAGUGUCUGGUGGGUAGUUUGACUGGGGCGGUCUCCUCCUAAAGAGUAACGGAGGAGCACGAAGGUUGGCUAAUCCUGGUCGGACAUCAGGAGGUUAGUGCAAUGGCAUAAGCCAGCUUGACUGCGAGCGUGACGGCGCGAGCAGGUGCGAAAGCAGGUCAUAGUGAUCCGGUGGUUCUGAAUGGAAGGGCCAUCGCUCAACGGAUAAAAGGUACUCCGGGGAUAACAGGCUGAUACCGCCCAAGAGUUCAUAUCGACGGCGGUGUUUGGCACCUCGAUGUCGGCUCAUCACAUCCUGGGGCUGAAGUAGGUCCCAAGGGUAUGGCUGUUCGCCAUUUAAAGUGGUACGCGAGCUGGGUUUAGAACGUCGUGAGACAGUUCGGUCCCUAUCUGCCGUGGGCGCUGGAGAACUGAGGGGGGCUGCUCCUAGUACGAGAGGACCGGAGUGGACGCAUCACUGGUGUUCGGGUUGUCAUGCCAAUGGCACUGCCCGGUAGCUAAAUGCGGAAGAGAUAAGUGCUGAAAGCAUCUAAGCACGAAACUUGCCCCGAGAUGAGUUCUCCCUGACUCCUUGAGAGUCCUGAAGGAACGUUGAAGACGACGACGUUGAUAGGCCGGGUGUGUAAGCGCAGCGAUGCGUUGAGCUAACCGGUACUAAUGAACCGUGAGGCUUAACCUUACAACGCCGAAG